GACGAACGCUGGCGGCGUGCUUAACACAUGCGAGUCGAACGGAAAGGCCUGUCCUUCCUUGUGUUGGACGGGUACUCGAGUGGCGAACGGGUGAGUAACACGUGAGUGAUCUGCCCCCAACUUGGGUAUAAGCCUGGGAAACUGGGUCUAAUUCCCGAUAGGACUGCAGGGUGGUGCCUGUGGUGGAAAACGAUUUUCUAGUGGUUGGGGAUGAGCUCGCGGCCUAUCAGUUUGUUGGUGGGGUAAUGGCCUACCAAGGCGGGGACGGGUAGCCGGCCUGGGAGGGUGGACGGCAACAUUGGGACUGAGAUACGGCCCAGACUCCGACGGGAGGAAGCAGUGGGGAAUAUUGCACAAGGGGCGGAAGCCUGAUGCAGCGACGCCGCGUGGGGGAUGACGGCCUUCGGGUUGUAAACUCCUUUCGACCGCGAGGAAGCCGCCUGGUUGGAAGGGUGGUGACGGUAGUGGCAGAAGAAGCACUGGCUAACUACGUG
Molecule: ribosomal RNA, 494 nt
Filed under: uncultured bacterium
Lineage: Bacteria
Description: partial 16S ribosomal RNA
Rfam family: Bacterial small subunit ribosomal RNA
Source: RNAcentral